AUUGAACGCUGGCGGCAGGCUUAACACAUGCAAGUCGAACGAAUGGCGGACGGGUGAGUGAUUCAUGGGCAUCUAGCUUAUGGACGGGGAUAACGACGGGAAACUGUAGCUAAUACCGCGUAACAUAGGAUGAGCACAAGUGGGAUUAGGUAGUUGGGUAGGUAAAGGCUCACCAGGCCGAAGCUCUCUAGCUAGUCUGAGAGGAUGACCAGCCACACUGGGACUGAGACACGGCCCAGACGCCUACGGGAGGCAGCAGUGGGGAAUAUUGCGCAAUGGGGGCAAGUUGACGCAGCCAUGCCGCGUGAAUGAAGAAGGCUUUCGGGUGGGAAAGUUCUUUUGGUAGAGAGGCGUUAUCUACAGAAGAAGCACCGGCUAACUCCGUGCCAACAGCCGCGGUAAUUC
RNAcentral lists this ribosomal RNA (405 nucleotides) under uncultured bacterium. RNAcentral describes it as "partial 16S ribosomal RNA". It matches the Rfam family "Bacterial small subunit ribosomal RNA", at positions 30 to 526 of the family's 1533-position model. The record is from RNAcentral.